AUAGGGGAGCCGGAGGGAAACCGAGUCUUAAUUGGGCGUUAAGUUGCAGGGUAUAGACCCGAAACCCGGUGAUCUAGCCAUGGGCAGGUUGAAGGUUGGGUAACACUAACUGGAGGACCGAACCGACUAAUGUUGAAAAAUUAGCGGAUGACCUGUGGCUGGGGGUGAAAGGCCAAUCAAACCGGGAGAUAGCUGGUUCUCCCCGAAAGCUAUUUAGGUAGCGCCUCGUGAAUUCAUCUCCGGGGGUAGAGCACUGUUUCGGCUAGGGGGCCAUCCCGGCUUACCAACCCGAUGCAAACUGCGAAUACCGGAGAAUGUUAUCACGGGAGACACACGGCGGGUGCUAACGUCCGUCGUGAAGAGGGAAACAACCCAGACCGCCAGCUAAGGUCCCAAAGUCAUGGUUAAGUGGGAAACGAUGUGGGAAGGCCCAGACAGCCAGGAUGUUGGCUUAGAAGCAGCCAUCAUUUAAAGAAAGCGUAAUAGCUCACUGGUCGAGUCGGCCUGCGCGGAAGAUGUAACGGGGCUAAACCAUGCACCGAAGCUGCGGCAGCGAACGUAUCACCCAAGACAACUUUACGGAGUUGACGAUUGACGGAGCGAAGCGACGUCAAAGCGUUCAUUAAAGUCGAGUUGGCUUAGGGAUACGUUCGUUGGGUAGGGGAGCGUUCUGUAAGCCUGUGAAGGUGGCCUGUGAGGGUUGCUGGAGGUAUCAGAAGUGCGAAUGCUGACAUAAGUAACGAUAAAGCGGGUGAAAAGCCCGCUCGCCGGAAGACCAAGGGUUCCUGUCCAACGUUAAUCGGGGCAGGGUGAGUCGACCCCUAAGGCGAGGCCGAAAGGCGUAGUCGAUGGGAAACGGGUUAAUAUUCCCGUACUUGGUGUUACUGCGAAGGGGGGACGGAGAAGGCUAUGUUGGCCGGGCGACGGUUGUCCCGGUUUAAGCGUGUAGGUGUGUGUUCCAGGUAAAUCCGGUUCACUUUAACACUGAGGCGUGACGACGAGGCACUACGGUGCUGAAGCAACAAAUGCCCUGCUUCCAGGAAAAGCCUCUAAGCAUCAGGUAACAUCAAAUCGUACCCCAAACCGACACAGGUGGUCAGGUAGAGAAUACCAAGGCGCUUGAGAGAACUCGGGUGAAGGAACUAGGCAAAAUGGUGCCGUAACUUCGGGAGAAGGCACGCUGACACGUAGGUGAAGUGAUUUACUCAUGGAGCUGAAGUCAGUCGAAGAUACCAGCUGGCUGCAACUGUUUAUUAAAAACACAGCACUGUGCAAACACGAAAGUGGACGUAUACGGUGUGACGCCUGCCCGGUGCCGGAAGGUUAAUUGAUGGGGUCAGCGCAAGCGAAGCUCCUGAUCGAAGCCCCGGUAAACGGCGGCCGUAACUAUAACGGUCCUAAGGUAGCGAAAUUCCUUGUCGGGUAAGUUCCGACCUGCACGAAUGGCGUAAUGAUGGCCAGGCUGUCUCCACCCGAGACUCAGUGAAAUUGAACUCGCUGUGAAGAUGCAGUGUACCCGCGGCAAGACGGAAAGACCCCGUGAACCUUUACUAUAGCUUGACACUGAACAUUGAGCCUUGAUGUGUAGGAUAGGUGGGAGGCUUUGAAGUGUGGACGCCAGUCUGCAUGGAGCCGACCUUGAAAUACCACCCUUUAAUGUUUGAUGUUCUAACGUGGACCCGUAAUCCGGGUUGCGGACAGUGUCUGGUGGGUAGUUUGACUGGGGCGGUCUCCUCCUAAAGAGUAACGGAGGAGCACGAAGGUUGGCUAAUCCUGGUCGGACAUCAGGAGGUUAGUGCAAUGGCAUAAGCCAGCUUGACUGCGAGCGUGACGGCGCGAGCAGGUGCGAAAGCAGGUCAUAGUGAUCCGGUGGUUCUGAAUGGAAGGGCCAUCGCUCAACGGAUAAAAGGUACUCCGGGGAUAACAGGCUGAUACCGCCCAAGAGUUCAUAUCGACGGCGGUGUUUGGCACCUCGAUGUCGGCUCAUCACAUCCUGGGGCUGAAGUAGGUCCCAAGGGUAUGGCUGUUCGCCAUUUAAAGUGGUACGCGAGCUGGGUUUAGAACGUCGUGAGACAGUUCGGUCCCUAUCUGCCGUGGGCGCUGGAGAACUGAGGGGGGCUGCUCCUAGUACGAGAGGACCGGAGUGGACGCAUCACUGGUGUUCGGGUUGUCAUGCCAAUGGCACUGCCCGGUAGCUAAAUGCGGAAGAGAUAAGUGCUGAAAGCAUCUAAGCACGAAACUUGCCCCGA
This 2249-nucleotide ribosomal RNA is filed under the name Salmonella enterica subsp. enterica serovar Bergen. RNAcentral describes it as "partial 23S ribosomal RNA". It matches the Rfam family "Bacterial large subunit ribosomal RNA", at positions 657 to 2802 of the family's 2925-position model. The record is from RNAcentral. Lineage: Bacteria; Pseudomonadati; Pseudomonadota; Gammaproteobacteria; Enterobacterales; Enterobacteriaceae.